RNAcentral lists this transfer RNA (70 nucleotides) under Clostridioides difficile. RNAcentral describes it as "tRNA-Met". It matches the Rfam family "tRNA". From Rfam's summary of the family: Transfer RNA (tRNA) molecules are approximately 80 nucleotides in length. The record is from RNAcentral. Lineage: Bacteria; Bacillati; Bacillota; Clostridia; Peptostreptococcales; Peptostreptococcaceae.
GUGGAGCAGUUGGCAGCUCGUCGGGCUCAUAACCCGAAGGUCGUAGGGUCAAGUCCUGCCUCCGCAACCA